GACGAACGCUGGCGGCGUGCUUAACACAUGCAAGUGGAGCGACGAAGCGGACUUCGGUCCGUGGCAGAGCCGCGAACGGGUGAGUAACACGUGGAUAACCUACCCCAAUGACCGGGACAACCCGAGGAAACUCGAGCUAAUACCGGAUGUUCUCUCUUCCUCUAAGGGAAUUGAGCAAAGAUAGCUUCGGCCUUCGCAUUGGGACGGGUCCGCGGCCCAUUAGCUUGUUGGUGAGGUAACGGCUUACCAAGGCGACGAUGGGUAGCUGGUCUGAGAGGACGAUCAGCCACACUGGGACUGAGACACGGCCCAGACUCCUACGGGAGGCAGCAGUGGGGAAUCUUGCGCAAUGCGCGAAAGCGUGACGCAGCAACGCCGCGUGGGGGAAGAAGGCCUUCGGGUUGUAAACCCCUUUCAGUUGGGACGAAGCUUCGAGGGUUAAUAGCCUUCUGGAGUGACGGUACCUUCACAAGAAGCCCCGGCUAACUACGUGCCAGCAGCCGCGGUAAAAC
Molecule: ribosomal RNA, 512 nt
Filed under: uncultured bacterium
Lineage: Bacteria
Description: bacterial SSU rRNA
Rfam family: Bacterial small subunit ribosomal RNA
Source: RNAcentral